CAGUAGCCACGGUAAUACGGAGGAUGCAGGCGUUAUCCGGAAUGAUUGGGCGUAAAGCGUCUGUAGGUGGUUUAUUAAGUCUACUGUUAAAGAUCAGGGCUUAACCCUGAGUCGGCAGUAGAAACUAAUGAGCUUGAGUACGGUAGGGGCAGAGGGAAUUCCCGGUGUAGCGGUGAAAUGCGUAGAGAUCGGGAAGAACACCAAUGGCGAAAGCACUCUGCUGGGCCGAAACUGACACUCAGAGACGAAAGCUAGGGGAGCGAAUGGGAUUAGAUACCCCCGUAGUCCCUGUCUCUUAUAC
This 301-nucleotide ribosomal RNA is filed under the name uncultured bacterium. RNAcentral describes it as "partial 16S ribosomal RNA". It matches the Rfam family "Bacterial small subunit ribosomal RNA", at positions 509 to 807 of the family's 1533-position model. The record is from RNAcentral.